This 1254-nucleotide ribosomal RNA is filed under the name Enterobacter kobei. RNAcentral's name for it is "bacterial SSU rRNA". It matches the Rfam family "Bacterial small subunit ribosomal RNA", at positions 34 to 1286 of the family's 1533-position model. Lineage: Bacteria; Pseudomonadati; Pseudomonadota; Gammaproteobacteria; Enterobacterales; Enterobacteriaceae. The record is from RNAcentral.
GGCUUCGAAUUGGUCUGCCUACCAUGCAGUCGAGCGGCAGCGGAAGUAGCUUGCUACUUUGCCGGCGAGCGGCGGACGGGUGAGUAAUGUCUGGGAAACUGCCUGAUGGAGGGGGAUAACUACUGGAAACGGUAGCUAAUACCGCAUAACGUCGCAAGACCAAAGAGGGGGACCUUCGGGCCUCUUGCCAUCAGAUGUGCCCAGAUGGGAUUAGCUAGUAGGUGGGGUAACGGCUCACCUAGGCGACGAUCCCUAGCUGGUCUGAGAGGAUGACCAGCCACACUGGAACUGAGACACGGUCCAGACUCCUACGGGAGGCAGCAGUGGGGAAUAUUGCACAAUGGGCGCAAGCCUGAUGCAGCCAUGCCGCGUGUAUGAAGAAGGCCUUCGGGUUGUAAAGUACUUUCAGCGGGGAGGAAGGCGUUGAGGUUAAUAACCUCAGCGAUUGACGUUACCCGCAGAAGAAGCACCGGCUAACUCCGUGCCAGCAGCCGCGGUAAUACGGAGGGUGCAAGCGUUAAUCGGAAUUACUGGGCGUAAAGCGCACGCAGGCGGUCUGUCAAGUCGGAUGUGAAAUCCCCGGGCUCAACCUGGGAACUGCAUUCGAAACUGGCAGGCUAGAGUCUUGUAGAGGGGGGUAGAAUUCCAGGUGUAGCGGUGAAAUGCGUAGAGAUCUGGAGGAAUACCGGUGGCGAAGGCGGCCCCCUGGACAAAGACUGACGCUCAGGUGCGAAAGCGUGGGGAGCAAACAGGAUUAGAUACCCUGGUAGUCCACGCCGUAAACGAUGUCGACUUGGAGGUUGUGCCCUUGAGGCGUGGCUUCCGGAGCUAACGCGUUAAGUCGACCGCCUGGGGAGUACGGCCGCAAGGUUAAAACUCAAAUGAAUUGACGGGGGCCCGCACAAGCGGUGGAGCAUGUGGUUUAAUUCGAUGCAACGCGAAGAACCUUACCUACUCUUGACAUCCAGAGAACUUAGCAGAGAUGCUUUGGUGCCUUCGGGACUCUGAGACAGUGCUGCAUGGCUGUCGUCAGCUCGUGUUGUGAAAUGUUGGGUUAAGUCCCGCAACGAGCGCACCCUUAUCCUUUGUUGCCAGCGGUCCGGCGGGACUCAAAGAGACUGCAGUGAUAAACUUGGAAGAGAGAGGGUGGGGAUGACGUCAGUCAUCAUGUCCUACGAGUUAGGGCUACACACGUGCUACAUUGCCAUACAGAGAACGAACCUCGGCGAGAGCAGCGGACCUCUAUAAAUGCUG